GUGGGAAAUACACAGGGAGUGAGAGAGAAGAGAAUAAGAGAGUGGUGAAGCGAGGAGGGUACAACACCUCUUUUCCCCCCACAUUGCAGUCAACUGAGUUUAAAGUGAGACUGCGGAACAAAGGCGAACAGUGAAUUCUUUAUCUCAGUGGAUUUCUCCGUGUUUCAUGGUGAACAAUGUCUCCACUAUUAAAGAGCCUGAAACUCUCUGCAGGAGCCUGUUAACUAAUCAAGGAAGCUGGAACAAAGGGACACAUCAAUGAAGAGAUUGUGAGUGAAAGGGAAGAUUCCUUCUUCAACCAGAAACACAAACCAACUCCUUGGACUCUAUUGAUCACCUGACCGACCUCCACACUCGCACAACAUAGACGGACGGAUAAAGUGGUGCGGGGGAACGGGCGGAGAGACAGCAAAAAAACGACGGAGAGAGAGAACCAUUCCAGUGUCCUAUAAGCUGUUGUUUGUCUCCUUGAGGUGGCCUGCAGCCCUGAUACUUUUUGUCUUGCCUGUGGACCCGUUCUACCCCCCUUCUCUCUUUCUCCCUCCCUCAAUCUUUCUCACUCUUGCUCCAUCUCCUUCCCCUAAGUCACCCCAUCACCCUCCCUCCCUCUGUGUUCCCCUGCCCCUCUCGCUCCAUCCACUUUUCCCUUCCGAAGGCUAAGGAUUCCAGCGGCCCCUUUGAGAGAAGUGUGUGAAAAUGCACAAUGCAGGUCCCAUGGCGUGCCCACCCCCUCCCGCCCCC
Gasterosteus aculeatus aculeatus (three-spined stickleback) is the source of this 741-nucleotide long non-coding RNA. NCBI's taxonomy places the organism in Eukaryota, Metazoa, Chordata, Actinopteri, Perciformes, Gasterosteidae. The record is from Ensembl.